AGGUGGUGCAUGGUUGUCGUCAGCUCGUGUCGUGAGAUGUUGGGUUAAGUCCCACAACGAGCGCAACCCUUGUGCCUAGUUGCUAACUUGUUUUACAAGUGCACUCUAGGCAGACUGCCGCAGAUAAUGCGGAGGAAGGUGGGGAUGACGUCAAAUCAUCAUGCCCCUUACGUCCCGGGCUACACACGUGCUACAAUGGUCUGUACAGAGGGUCGCAAAAGAGCAAUCUUAAGCCAAUCCCAAAAAGCAGGCCUCAGUUCGGAUUGGAGGCUGCAACUCGCCUCCAUGAAGUAGGAAUCGCUAGUAAUCGCGGAUCAGCAUGCCGCGGUGAAUACGUUCCCGGGCCUUGUACACACCGCCCGUCACACCACGAAAGUUGGCGAUACCUGAAGUUACUAGGCUAACCCCGUAAGGGGAGGCAGGUACCGAAGGUAUGGCUAGCG
RNAcentral lists this ribosomal RNA (443 nucleotides) under uncultured Bacillota bacterium. RNAcentral describes it as "bacterial SSU rRNA". It matches the Rfam family "Bacterial small subunit ribosomal RNA", at positions 1036 to 1473 of the family's 1533-position model. The record is from RNAcentral. Lineage: Bacteria; Bacillati; Bacillota.